UGUGCUGUGUUUCCGUUGACCAUUACUAACUGACAAUGGUGUUUUCUAUUGUCGGUUAUGGUGGAUUGGACCAGGAGUGCUUCAUAAAGGGUGCCCAAAGGUUCUUCCUGACUCAGCUCCUUGGUGUCCCAGAUAGAUGAUACUGGAUAGUCCACACUAUAGGCUGCUGCCGAGGGUUGAUGAAAACCAGGUCAAGUCCAAUUAGACCUGGCGGCGGCGUCCAUUGGGAAAUUGUUCCUGAUGUGACCCAGUUAUUUGCAACGGAAGCAACGUAGUUCGUUGUCGGCCUGUCGUGGGUAGCGAGGGUUAGAAGCUACCGGUCUGCUGAGGGGUUGGUAUCUGGUCACUGGUGGGUUUGCCGGUACCAUUGGUCACGUUGGUUGGACCCGUGGUGCGACCCGUGUGGUCUUGCGAGUACCCGCAUACUCAUCUGCUAACUUGGCGGCCUCUGGUAGAGAAAGGGGUCUGCGGUCUCUCACCCAGUCUUUAAUAUCUGCCUGGAUGUGGUCAUAUAAUUUUUCCAGGAGUAUUAAUUGUAAAAUAUCAUCCGCGGUGGUGGCUUGGCUGCUGUUGACCCAGUUAGAUGCCGACAGGUGUAACUGGCAGGCCCAUUCUGUAUAGGAAUCCCUGUCCGUUUUACGUGAGUCUCUGAACUUUUGUCGGUACGAUUCCGGGGUUACCGCAUAACGAGCCAGCAGCGCUUCUUUAACCCUUGAGUAGCGGUCCACUUGCGUAGCUGUGGAUCUCGGUGUGGAGCUUUGCCUGACAACUUCCCUGCCAAUAUCGAAACCCAUUCGUCCGCAGCUACACUGUGCAGGUUACACUGCUGCUCGAAAUCUGCUAAAUAACUGUCAAUCUCGCUGUCCUUCUCAUUAAAGGCUUUAAAAGCACUGAAAAGAUUUUUUCUUGUGUCUGCUGUGCUGUACUCGCUGUUUGGGGAGUUUACUGCUGCCCGCUGGGCUUCCACCAGUUUCAGUUGCAGCUCUGUUUCUCUCUUUUGUUUAGCCUCUUCCGCUACAAU
Pelobates cultripes (western spadefoot toad) is the source of this 1021-nucleotide non-coding RNA. The record is from the annotation of a GenBank genome assembly. Lineage: Eukaryota; Metazoa; Chordata; Amphibia; Anura; Pelobatidae.